AGUCAUUUGGAUAAAUGCCAAGGAAUGAGACCGAAGAUCACAUAAGCCAUUAGCUGGAGUCUUCGAGUGAAGAAGUCUUGGAGUGAAAAACUGGAUUUAAACUUGGAAUAUGUUGAUUUCCUUAUAGAGUACCUGAACAUGUCUUAGUCCCAUGCCAUGACAUGAAUGAAAGAAAAUCUUGAAGUCAUUUUCAUAAAGACCUAAAAAACGUAA
This is a long non-coding RNA of Suricata suricatta (meerkat), 213 nucleotides long. RefSeq lists it as uncharacterized. Lineage: Eukaryota; Metazoa; Chordata; Mammalia; Carnivora; Herpestidae. The transcript is spliced from 2 exons. The record is from RefSeq and is a predicted model, not a curated record.